This 76-nucleotide transfer RNA is filed under the name Planctomycetota bacterium. RNAcentral describes it as "Planctomycetes bacterium tRNA-Cys". It matches the Rfam family "tRNA". From Rfam's summary of the family: Transfer RNA (tRNA) molecules are approximately 80 nucleotides in length. Their secondary structure includes four short double-helical elements and three loops (D, anti-codon, and T loops). Further hydrogen bonds mediate the characteristic L-shaped molecular structure. tRNAs have two regions of fundamental functional importance: the anti-codon, which is responsible for specific mRNA codon recognition, and the 3' end, to which the tRNAs corresponding amino acid is attached (by aminoacyl-tRNA synthetases). tRNAs cope with the degeneracy of the genetic code in two manners: having more than one tRNA (with a specific anti-codon) for a particular amino acid; and 'wobble' base-pairing, i.e. permitting non-standard base-pairing at the 3rd anti-codon position. The record is from RNAcentral. Lineage: Bacteria; Pseudomonadati; Planctomycetota.
GGCCAGGUGUCCGAGUGGCGUUAGGUAGCGGUCUGCAAAACCGCGCACAAGGGUUCGAAUCCCUUUCUGGCCUCGA